Molecule: long non-coding RNA, 352 nt
Organism: Mytilus californianus (California mussel)
Lineage: Eukaryota; Metazoa; Mollusca; Bivalvia; Mytilida; Mytilidae
Exons: 3
Source: RefSeq, a predicted model, not a curated record
GACGAAUGUUCCUCUAACAACGGUGGAUGUGACCAAGUAUGCAAAAAUGACCAUGCUGUUUUUCGAUGUGAAUGUUAUCAAGGAUUUGGUCUCGAUGAAACUGGAAAAUCAUGUAACGAUAAUAAUGAAUGCCUGGGAUCCAAUAAAUGUUCCCAGUCAUGUAAUAAUACCAUAGGAUCAUAUGUCUGUAGCUGUGAUCCAGAAUAUCAAUUAGAAAGUGACGGGUUUACAUGCACUGAUAUUGAUGACUGCCUUAGGAUAGAAUGCUUUAAUAAUGGAAGAUGUGUAGAUUUUCCAGGAUCCUACACCUGUAAAUGUGAAGAAGGAUUCGAAGGAGAGCAUUGUGAAUUCG